Molecule: long non-coding RNA, 2352 nt
Filed under: Homo sapiens (human)
Lineage: Eukaryota; Metazoa; Chordata; Mammalia; Primates; Hominidae
Description: HSALNT0061910
Source: RNAcentral
CUCGGGCCGCGCAGGAGCCCACGGCGGGGGCGAGGCUCAGGCAUGGCGGGCUGCAGGUCCCGAGCCGUACCCCGCGGGGAGGCAGCUAAGGCCCGGCGAGAAGUCGAGCACAGCAGCUGCUGGACCGGGUGCUAAGCCCCUCACUGCCCCGGGCGCGGGGCCGGCUGGCCGCUCCGAGUGCUGGGCCUGGGAGGCCACGCCCACCCGGAACUUGCCCUAGUCCGCAAGCGCAGCGUGCAGCCUGGGUUCCCGCCCGCGCCUCUCCCGCCACACCUCCCUGCAAGCUGAGGGAGCCGGCUCCUGCCUUGGCCAGGCUAGAAAGGGGCUCCCACAGUGCAGGGGCGGGCUGAAGGGCUCCUCAAGUGCCACCAAAGUGGGAGCCCAGGCAGAGGAGGUGCCGAGAGCGAGCGAGGGCUGCGAGGACUGCCAGCAGCUGUCACCUCUCGUUACCAUCACUCCUAGUGACCAUUUCGGAUAAUCCACCUUGCCUCAUCAAACCAGAAAACAAUUCAAACCUGGCCUCCUUCUAACUGGAAGCCACAUUUUAAGAACUUAUUGUGAAGAACUGGAAAGCCUCCAAUAGAACAGAAGCUAAAAGCAGAAAUUAUAAAAGCUGUUACACCUACUCAGCUCUAUUACAUGUUGGAAAAACUGAACCAGAGAAACAAUUACAUACACUCUUGUCUUCUGGAAAAGCUGAAUUGGGUUUUGGUCUGAAUCAAUAGGACCCAUUAUACAGGCUGCCUUUCCAGCUCUCCAAUCAUACUUCCAAGAAAACUGCUCACUCUCAGAACCAAGGUUCAAGUUGUACAUUGGGAUUUGGGUAGAGGCUAUAUAUACAGUGAUGCCCAUCUACCCCUGAGAUCUAAAAAUCUAAGAUGAAAACGAGCACACAGUCUUGGCAGCAUUGGGGUAACAGACUAUGAAAGAAGAAAUCAGAUUGGAAAAUUCAGUAUAUCAAUGAAGAAAAUAAUCACUCAAGGAGAGGAAUAAACAGCAAAACAAUCUAUAUAUUUAAUUAUAGAUACAAUUGUUUCAAUGCUGAUUAUUCAUCCUUAUAUAACUGUCUACAGCUAUUUAGGGUUGUCUUCAUCCAUUUUGUGUUGCCAUUGCAGAAUACGUGAAACUGGGUAAUUUGUAAAGAAAAGAGAUUUUUUAACUUAUGGGUUCUGCAGGAUGGGAAGUUCAAGAAACAUGACACCAGCAUCUGCUUGGUUUCUGUUGAGGACUUUCAUGCUUAUAUCACAACAUGGCAGAAGGUUAAAGGGGGAGUAGACAUGUGCAAAUAGGCAAAACCUGAGGGGCAUCUUGGCUUUAUAACAACCCACUCUUGGAGGACUAAUUCAUUCUUGAGAGAACUAAUCUGGUCUUGCCAGAGAAAAAAUUCACUCACUGCCUACUGUGAGAAUAGCACUAAGCCAUCCAUGAGAGUGGAGCCCCAUCACUCAAACACCUCCCAUUAGGCUCUACAGCUUACAGAUUAUACCUCCUAACAUUGCCACAGUGGGAAACAAAUUUCAAGAUGAGAUUUGGUGGGGACAGACCAUAUCUAAACAAAGAGUAAACAAGGGUAAACAACUUUUGAGAACAUACUUGUGAUCCUUUAUUUCAACCCAGAAUGAUGCCAGAAUUUUGGAGAUGGGGCUCAGAGCAAAUCAGUAAGUUACAAUUCUCAAGUUUCACAGGGAAGUGGGAGUGAGAGACACAUCAUGGAGGACCACGCGACUCUCAGUUACACUGGGUGAAUUGUCUUCAUUGAAUUCCCGCACCAUGCAGACUCAUUUAACGGUAGUUCUUCCAAAGCUGCUUUUCUGCUUUGCUUUUGGAAUACUACUUUAUCUAAAUUUUCAUCUACCCUUUCAAUUCCUAUGCUUCUUGUGUUGAUUUCUCUUUUCCGACUUCUCAGAUUUUUAAUCUCAUUUUUAAACAUGAGAAUUCUCUGAGGUCUAUUUCUUGACCCUUUGUCCUCUUUUUAACUAUCCCUUGGGAAACUUGCACAAUCUAAAUGACUAACUAGAACUUAUGAGAUUAUGAGCCAGAUCUCUCCCUGCUUAUGAGCCCAUUUCAAUUAGAUGUCUCAGCAUCAUUGUAAGUUAAAAUGCAUAAAAUCCAAAACAAUAAAUUUUUCUCAAACCAAUGUUAUAUCUGAAAUGGUUAUUUCAAUGACUUUAAUGACUUUCAAUAACUUCAAUGACCUUAGCUUCUUUCUGUUCUUUCCACAAGCUAGUGCUUUAAUUUUUUAAGAAUAAACUUAACAGAUGAAAUGAUAAAGACAUAAUUUUUAUGUUGUGUUAUACUCUUGAUGGAAAUAUUUCCAAAUCUUUUGAAUGAAGAGCUUUGAAGAAAAACCUG